UAAACUGAAGAGUUUGAUCAUGGCUCAGAUUGAACGCUGGCGGCAGGCUUAACACAUGCAAGUCGAGCGGGGAAGUGUAGCUUGCUACAUUACCUAGCGGCGGACGGGUGAGUAAUGCUUAGGAAUCUGCCUAUUAGUGGGGGACAACAUUCCGAAAGGAAUGCUAAUACCGCAUACGUCCUACGGGAGAAAGCAGGGGAUCUUCGGACCUUGCGCUAAUA
RNAcentral lists this ribosomal RNA (221 nucleotides) under Acinetobacter haemolyticus. Its description in RNAcentral is "partial 16S ribosomal RNA". It matches the Rfam family "Bacterial small subunit ribosomal RNA", at positions 1 to 223 of the family's 1533-position model. The record is from RNAcentral. Lineage: Bacteria; Pseudomonadati; Pseudomonadota; Gammaproteobacteria; Moraxellales; Moraxellaceae.